AGCGAACGCUGGCGGCAGGCCUAACACAUGCAAGUCGAACGGAUCCUUCGGGAUUAGUGGCGGACGGGUGAGUAACACGUGGGAACGUGCCCUUUGGUUCGGAACAACUCAGGGAAACUUGAGCUAAUACCGGAUGUGCCCUUCGGGGGAAAGAUUUAUCGCCAUUGGAGCGGCCCGCGUCUGUUUAGCCAGUUGGUGAGGUAACGGCCCACCAAGGCGACGAUCAGUAGCUGGUCUGAGAGGAUGAUCAGCCACACUGGAACUGAGACACGGCCCAGACUCCUACGGGAGGCAGGAGUGGGGAAUCUUGCGCAAUGGGCGAAAGCCUGACGCAGCCAUGCCGGGUGAAUGAUGAAGGUCUUAGGAUUGUAAAAUUCUUUCAGCGGGGACGAUAAUGACGGUACCCGCAGAAGAAGCUCCGGCUAACUUCGUG
RNAcentral lists this ribosomal RNA (433 nucleotides) under uncultured bacterium. RNAcentral describes it as "partial 16S ribosomal RNA". It matches the Rfam family "Bacterial small subunit ribosomal RNA", at positions 29 to 507 of the family's 1533-position model. The record is from RNAcentral.